AGUAGUCACGAGUUUGAUCAUGGCUCAGAACGAACGCUGGCGGCAUGCCUAACACAUGCAAGUCGAACGAGACCUUCGGGUCUAGUGGCGCACGGGUGCGUAACGCGUGGGAAUCUGCCCUUAGGUUCGGAAUAACUUCGGGAAACUGAAGCUAAUACCGGAUGAUGACGUAAGUCCAAAGAUUUAUCGCCUAAGGAUGAGCCCGCGUUGGAUUAGCUAGUUGGUGAGGUAAAGGCUCACCAAGGCGACGAUCCAUAGCUGGUCUGAGAGGAUGAUCAGCCACACUGGGACUGAGACACGGCCCAGACUCCUACGGGAGGCAGCAGUGGGGAAUAUUGGACAAUGGGCGAAAGCCUGAUCCAGCAAUGCCGCGUGAGUGAUGAAGGCCUUAGGGUUGUAAAGCUCUUUACCCGGGAUGAUAAUGACAGUACCGGGAGAAUAAGCUCCGGCUAACUCCGUG
This 460-nucleotide ribosomal RNA is filed under the name uncultured bacterium. Its description in RNAcentral is "bacterial SSU rRNA". It matches the Rfam family "Bacterial small subunit ribosomal RNA", at positions 1 to 507 of the family's 1533-position model. The record is from RNAcentral.